This 532-nucleotide small RNA is filed under the name Pongo abelii (Sumatran orangutan). RNAcentral's name for it is "retained intron". Lineage: Eukaryota; Metazoa; Chordata; Mammalia; Primates; Hominidae. The record is from RNAcentral.
GAAAACCUAUCAGUAAGAUGUUUCUUUUUGCUUUUCAGGAACCGUGGGGAAAGGCGAAUGGGUGCUUUUGAAUGUGUUCGUAAAGUGUAUCAGACAGAUGGACUAAAAGGAUUUUAUAGGGGCAUGUCUGCUUCAUAUGCUGGUAUAUCAGAGACUGUUAUCCAUUUUGUUAUUUAUGAAAGUAUAAAACAAAAACUACUGGAAUAUAAGACUGCUUCUACAAUGGAAAAUGAUGAAGAGUCUGUGAAAGAAGCAUCAGAUUUUGUGGGAAUGAUGCUAGCUGCUGCCACCUCAAAAACUUGUGCCACAACUAUAGCAUAUCCACAUGAAGUUGUAAGAACAAGACUACGUGAAGAGGGAACAAAAUACAGAUCUUUUUUUCAGACUUUAUCUUUGGUUGUUCAAGAAGAAGGUUAUGGGUCUCUUUACCGUGGUCUGACAACUCAUCUAGUGAGACAGAUUCCAAACACAGCCAUUAUGAUGGCCACCUAUGAAUUGGUGGUUUACCUACUCAAUGGAUAGCAGCAUGAGG